Molecule: long non-coding RNA, 765 nt
Organism: Homo sapiens (human)
Lineage: Eukaryota; Metazoa; Chordata; Mammalia; Primates; Hominidae
Product: long intergenic non-protein coding RNA 2607
Source: Ensembl
AGCAGACUGAAGGGAACACAACUAUGAUGAUUCUCUAUGCUGUACUUGGAGAAGGCUGGUUAGUCAUAAGUUUUAAAGCAGGUCAGUAUGGUGGAUUUCCAGUCUGCCAGCCUCCUUUGCAGUGGGUUGGGACCGAGUGACGGCUUCUGGCAAAUGAACUCCUACUCAACAUGAAGAUGACAAGAAGGAAGACCUUUAUGAUGAUCCACUUUUGCUUAGUUUUUAGAUCAAAAAGAAUUGUACUCAAGGAAUUGAAGCUAUGGAGCCUCUGCCACAUCUGGACCUGAUUUUGAUGACAAGAUCCUGUACCUCAAGCCCGAGACUAAUUUCAUAAUUUGAUGAAUCUUUUUGGAGAGUCAUGGGAGGAAUGUAAACAAUUUGUGGCCAAAGGAGAAUUAUGGUAGUUUGAAGAUGUGGAUACAAAUUAUUUGACAUUCUUCUCAUAGAAAGGUGAUGCUUAUGUCUCCACCCCUUGUAAACAAGCUGGCUUGUGACUUUGACCUAUAGUGUAUGGUGGGAGUGAUGCUGUGGAACUGGAAUUACUAGCAUCAGGAAACCUACUUGCUACAGACCCAACAACGUGCAAUGAUCAGAUCCCAAUUUAGACUGUAAAAAGACCAAUAUCAGAGACUAAGAACUGAGAUCAAACAUACCUUCUUCCUGUACCAAACAGUUCUGGGGCCAAAUAUUGUCUACUGUCUCUAUGCUAACUAGUACUGAAACCAGGCAAAAUUAACUACUUAGCCGCUUGUUCCAGGAAAUACC